This 460-nucleotide ribosomal RNA is filed under the name uncultured bacterium. RNAcentral describes it as "partial 16S ribosomal RNA". It matches the Rfam family "Bacterial small subunit ribosomal RNA", at positions 338 to 795 of the family's 1533-position model. The record is from RNAcentral.
CCUACGGGAGACUGCAGUGAGGAAUAUUGGUCAAUGGCCGGAAGGCUGAACCAGCCAUGCCGCGUGAAGGUCAGUGCCCUAUGGGCGUUAAACUUCUUUUGUGCGGGAGCAAUAAUGGUCACGUGUGGCCAGACGAGAGUACCGUACGAAUAAGCAUCGGCUAACUCCGUGCCAGCAGCCGCGGUAAUACGGGGGAUGCAAGCGUUAUCCGGAUUUAUUGGGUUUAAAGGGUGCGUAGGCUGUGAGGUAAGUCAGCGGUGAAAUGCCCCCGCUCAACGGGGUGAAGUGCCAUUGAUACUGCCUGGCUGGAAUGCGGAUGCCGUAGGAGGAAUGUGUGGUGUAGCGGUGAAAUGCAUAGAUAUCACACAGAACACCGAUUGCGAAGGCAUCUCGCGAAUCCGCGAUUGACGCUGAUGCACGAAAGCGUGGGUAUCAAACAGGAUUAGAUACCCUUGUAGUC